GACGAACGCUGGCGGCGUGCUUAACACAUGCAAGUCGAACGGAAAGGCCCUGCUUUGGCGGGGUGCUCGAGUGGCGAACGGGUGAGUAACACGUGAGUAACCUGCCCUUGACUGGGGGAUAACUUCAGGAAACUGGGGCUAAUACCGGAUAGGAGCUCCUGCUGCAUGGUGGGGGUUGGAAAGUUUCGGCGGGUGGGGAUGGACUCGCGGCUUAUCAGCUUGUUGGUGGGGUAGUGGCUUACCAAGGCUUUGACGGGUAGCCGGCCUGAGAGGGUGACCGGCCACAUUGGGACUGAGAUACGGCCCAGACUCCUACGGGAGGCAGCAGUGGGGAAUAUUGCACAAUGGGCGGAAGCCUGAUGCAGCAACGCCGCGUGCGGGAUGACGGCCUUCGGGUUGUAAACCGCUUUCGCCUGUGACGAAGCGUGAGUGACGGUAAUGGGUAAAGAAGCACCGGCUAACUACGUG
RNAcentral lists this ribosomal RNA (468 nucleotides) under uncultured bacterium. Its description in RNAcentral is "partial 16S ribosomal RNA". It matches the Rfam family "Bacterial small subunit ribosomal RNA", at positions 28 to 507 of the family's 1533-position model. The record is from RNAcentral.